UAUAAGUAAACAACACAAAAUAAAAACAAGAAGGCACAAACAAUGAAUAAUAAGAGUGAUGAAUAAAUAAUAAAUAAACAAAUAACACAAUAAAUAAGAGGAGCAAAACGGAGCAAGUGUGCAUACAGCAGACAGUCAGAACAUAGCGCAAAAGUACAGGAUGCUACUAAAGGAAAAUGUGCUUUUUGGCAGCUUGCAAACAUAUUUUCUUAAAGGCUAAGUUAGACAUAUAUAUAUAUAUAAUCACAUCAAGUUAAUCUUCAGUAGUGGCUGUGCUCAUGGAAAGCAGUUGAUGAACCGGAAAGUGAGGAAGUGUGCAAACAAUUGCACCAAGAUGUUUUCUCCUAAGUGUUAUUUACACAGGGUGCAAGCAUCGGUCAGGCGAGACCAAGACUGGGUUGUAAAAUAGAAAUGGCUUUAACAGGACGUGCCAGAAUUCAACUAGCAGUGAUGGAAGGAGGAGAGGAAGACCAGUGACAUCUGGUUGUGGUGUGGUGACAACAAAUUAUAUGAUCGCUUGCCGAAGGAUGCAUCAGGUAUCUGUGCCCUCGUGUCUUUGAUAAUGCCUGUAGUGGUUGUCCCCAUUGAAAUACAGAAUCUCAAUUGGAACAUGGAGUCCCCACUGGCGGGGCUCCUGAAGCGAGCCAAAAGAGACGUUUUGCCCCCAUGGUUGAGCGACAACAAUCCAACAUAUAUUGACGCCAUAGGAGUGCCGCGGGGUGUGCCAGAUAAGUAUAAACUCGUUAAUCAAGUGUCCUCGGGAUUCGAAAGCAUUUUCCUAUGUAUCACCCCCGAUAAAAUGGUGACCGUAUUAAUUACGUUCCGACUAACCCAGGUGUUGGAAGGACUAGGGACACUGAAUAAAAAUAUGAAAGAUCAUUCAGGUGUAUGCACCGAUAUUUGGUCUGAUUGGAUGAAAACGUUUGGAAGCUGGAAAGGCCUUAUCAUGUCUGUGCUCGUCGCUGUGGCUAUUUUUACUGCAGUGAUGAUUUUGUGCGGCUGUUGUUGUAUUCCAUGUAUUACACUCACUGUCCGGUUGAUCGAGAAAACCGUUGGCCCGUUGCUACCGAAUGGCCAAUAUGCCCUGGUGACUCAACAUGAGCUGGCAGGGGCAGAAAGAACCGACUGUGUGUUGGUCGCUGCUUGCUAGAGAAACAGGUGAUGACCUCAUAAAUGAGGUCAUGAGAGGGAAUAAAGGAAAAUGUGCUUUUUGACAGCUUGCAAACAUAUUUUCUUAAAGGCUAAGUUAGACAUAUAUAUAUAAUCACAUCAAGUUAAUCUUCAGUAGUGGCUGUGCUCAUGCAAAGCAGUUGAUGAAGCGGAAAGUGAGGAAGUGUGCAAACAAUUGCACCAAGAUGUUUUCUCCUAAGUGUUAUUUACACAGGGUGCAAGCAUCGGUCAGGCGAGACCAAACACGUACAAGCCGUCAAAAAUAUCUACAGAUUGUAGGAGUGAGAAUUACACCUCGUCGUUGUGGUCGGACGCGCUAGUCAAACCCAACCACCAGGACGUCUGCACUCGCCGAUAAGCACCCAGUGGGGAGGAAACGGCCAUCGACCAAUCGUCUCACAAUGUUUUGCAUGUUUGAAUAUUCAUAUUGUGUUUCUUUAUAACUCGGUAACCCGGAAGAAUGUGUUGAUCCUUGAUGGUCACAAGAACACACGAGCUUUAGUGUGAGGAACCCGGAACCCAGGCCUGUAUUAGUUUGCUUUGUCAGGAAUAAACAAUUGGUAAAUUCGG
Molecule: long non-coding RNA, 1740 nt
Organism: Syngnathus typhle (broad-nosed pipefish)
Lineage: Eukaryota; Metazoa; Chordata; Actinopteri; Syngnathiformes; Syngnathidae
Exons: 2
Source: RefSeq, a predicted model, not a curated record